CCGGACAUGUUGUGCUCUCAGACCACUGAUCGAAAGAAACGGAGGCAGAGAAAGCGGAGAAGCGCCAUUUUGUAUGGAACGUUAUCAAACGUUAAAGCUUUGUGGACGAUUCUGUGGAGAGAAGGCGAGAGGUCGCUAUCCAUGGCUUAGUGGUGUAUCUCAGGGAAAAGGAGGAGGAUCUCUUCAAAGAGCAGGAUGGUGGCGGGGAUAUUACCAAUGAAGUGAUGAAGAUUGUAACCAGAGGUGCCACAACGUCUGAUCCAGCCAGCGCAAGGAUCAUACUUGAAGGAACAGAAGUCCUAGCAGACCUGGAUGUACCCAGAGCCUGUGCCUUGCUAAUGGGGCUGAUAUAUGCACUCAACCUCAGCUACCCAAAAGAACUGAAAAACACUUUUGAAGUGUUUCAAAAGAUAUUCCUCGAGCUGGAUGAUCUGAAAGCCAGUCCUAAGGAGGAAUGUGGAACGAGAGAAAGCAGUGAGCACGGGGAGUGCAGAGACACUGGAGCAGAGCGCACUACACUGGGACUUCUUGGGAAGAAGACACGACAUGGGAGUCUGGGACACUAGGGGAUUUAUUGUUGCUUACUUCACCACC
Long non-coding RNA from Pelmatolapia mariae (spotted tilapia), 594 nucleotides. RefSeq lists it as uncharacterized. The transcript is spliced from 4 exons. NCBI's taxonomy places the organism in Eukaryota, Metazoa, Chordata, Actinopteri, Cichliformes, Cichlidae. The record is from RefSeq and is a predicted model, not a curated record.